AAAAUUAGCGGAUGACUUGUGGCUGGGGGUGAAAGGCCAAUCAAACCGGGAGAUAGCUGGUUCUCCCCGAAAGCUAUUUAGGUAGCGCCUCGUGAAUUCAUCUCCGGGGGUAGAGCACUGUUUCGGCAAGGGGGUCAUCCCGACUUACCAACCCGAUGCAAACUGCGAAUACCGGAGAAUGUUAUCACGGGAGACACACGGCGGGUGCUAACGUCCGUCGUGAAGAGGGAAACAACCCAGACCGCCAGCUAAGGUCCCAAAGUCAUGGUUAAGUGGGAAACGAUGUGGGAAGGCCCAGACAGCCAGGAUGUUGGCUUAGAAGCAGCCAUCAUUUAAAGAAAGCGUAAUAGCUCACUGGUCGAGUCGGCCUGCGCGGAAGAUGUAACGGGGCUAAACCAUGCACCGAAGCUGCGGCAGCGACGCUUAUGCGUUGUUGGGUAGGGGAGCGUUCUGUAAGCCUGCGAAGGUGUGCUGUGAGGCAUGCUGGAGGUAUCAGAAGUGCGAAUGCUGACAUAAGUAACGAUAAAGCGGGUGAAAAGCCCGCUCGCCGGAAGACCAAGGGUUCCUGUCCAACGUUAAUCGGGGCAGGGUGAGUCGACCCCUAAGGCGAGGCCGAAAGGCGUAGUCGAUGGGAAACAGGUUAAUAUUCCUGUACUUGGUGUUACUGCGAAGGGGGGACGGAGAAGGCUAUGUUGGCCGGGCGACGGUUGUCCCGGUUUAAGCGUGUAGGCUGGUUUUCCAGGCAAAUCCGGAAAAUCAAGGCUGAGGCGUGAUGACGAGGCACUACGGUGCUGAAGCAACAAAUGCCCUGCUUCCAGGAAAAGCCUCUAAGCAUCAGGUAACAUCAAAUCGUACCCCAAACCGACACAGGUGGUCAGGUAGAGAAUACCAAGGCGCUUGAGAGAACUCGGGUGAAGGAACUAGGCAAAAUGGUGCCGUAACUUCGGGAGAAGGCACGCUGAUAUGUAGGUGAAGCGACUUGCUCGUGGAGCUGAAAUCAGUCGAAGAUACCAGCUGGCUGCAACUGUUUAUUAAAAACACAGCACUGUGCAAACACGAAAGUGGACGUAUACGGUGUGACGCCUGCCCGGUGCCGGAAGGUUAAUUGAUGGGGUCAGCGCAAGCGAAGCUCUUGAUCGAAGCCCCGGUAAACGGCGGCCGUAACUAUAACGGUCCUAAGGUAGCGAAAUUCCUUGUCGGGUAAGUUCCGACCUGCACGAAUGGCGUAAUGAUGGCCAGGCUGUCUCCACCCGAGACUCAGUGAAAUUGAACUCGCUGUGAAGAUGCAGUGUACCCGCGGCAAGACGGAAAGACCCCGUGAACCUUUACUAUAGCUUGACACUGAACAUUGAGCCUUGAUGUGUAGGAUAGGUGGGAGGCUUUGAAGUGUGGACGCCAGUCUGCAUGGAGCCGACCUUGAAAUACCACCCUUUAAUGUUUGAUGUUCUAACGUGGACCCGUAAUCCGGGUUGCGGACAGUGUCUGGUGGGUAGUUUGACUGGGGCGGUCUCCUCCUAAAGAGUAACGGAGGAGCACGAAGGUUGGCUAAUCCUGGUCGGACAUCAGGAGGUUAGUGCAAUGGCAUAAGCCAGCUUGACUGCGAGCGUGACGGCGCGAGCAGGUGCGAAAGCAGGUCAUAGUGAUCCGGUGGUUCUGAAUGGAAGGGCCAUCGCUCAACGGAUAAAAGGUACUCCGGGGAUAACAGGCUGAUACCGCCCAAGAGUUCAUAUCGACGGCGGUGUUUGGCACCUCGAUGUCGGCUCAUCACAUCCUGGGGCUGAAGUAGGUCCCAAGGGUAUGGCUGUUCGCCAUUUAAAGUGGUACGCGAGCUGGGUUUAGAACGUCGUGAGACAGUUCGGUCCCUAUCUGCCGUGGGCGCUGGAGAACUGAGGGGGGCUGCUCCUAGUACGAGAGGACCGGAGUGGACGCAUCACUGGUGUUCGGGUUGUCAUGCCAAUGGCACUGCCCGGUAGCUAAAUGCGGAAGAGAUAAGUGCUGAAAGCAUCUAAGCACGAAACUUGCCCCGAGAUGAGUUCUCCCUGACUCCUUGAGAGUCCUGAAGGAACGUUGAAGACGACGACGUUGAUAGGCCGGGUGUGUAAGCGCAGCGAUGCGUUGAGCUAACCGGUACUAAUGAACCGUGAGG
Molecule: ribosomal RNA, 2146 nt
Filed under: Escherichia coli
Lineage: Bacteria; Pseudomonadati; Pseudomonadota; Gammaproteobacteria; Enterobacterales; Enterobacteriaceae
Description: partial 23S ribosomal RNA
Rfam family: Bacterial large subunit ribosomal RNA
Source: RNAcentral